RNAcentral lists this long non-coding RNA (423 nucleotides) under Brassica napus (rape). RNAcentral describes it as "long non-coding RNA (BNAP_LNC011344)". The record is from RNAcentral. Lineage: Eukaryota; Viridiplantae; Streptophyta; Magnoliopsida; Brassicales; Brassicaceae.
ACAGGAGAUAAGACCCACGAGAAUGCUUUAGUUCUUUCUUUUUCUAUAGGUAGACCUAUCAGAUAAUCUUCUCAAUCCUUUAAUCUGUACGAUUAGCAUUUAAGUAUUGUUAACUAUUUACUUUAUUUUAAUUUUGGAUGCCAUUAGAAUUAGAAUUAUGUUUCCAUUCAGCUUAGCAAUCAUUGUCAUCAAUAGAAUACUAUAACUUGACCCGCACUGUGGGUAUAUUUUCUAUUUAAAUAAUUUCCAUUUUGUUUAUAUAACAAACUAAUUUUUAAAAUUAUGUAUAACUUGAUAUUGUAUAUUGCAGGCGUGGACAUAAAAACCGAGAACCGAAAACCAAACAGAAACUGAACAAAAAAAACAAACCCGAAACCGAACCGAUGUUCAAAAAUAACCAAACGUUUUCUAUAUUUCUAUAAU